Molecule: ribosomal RNA, 514 nt
Filed under: uncultured bacterium
Lineage: Bacteria
Description: partial 16S ribosomal RNA
Rfam family: Bacterial small subunit ribosomal RNA
Source: RNAcentral
GAUGAACGCUGGCGGCGUGCCUAAUACAUGCAAGUCGAGCGAAUGGAUUAAGAGCUUGCUCUUAUGAAGUUAGCGGCGGACGGGUGAGUAACACGUGGGUAACCUGCCCAUAAGACUAGGAUAACUCCGGGAAACCGGGGCUAAUACCGGAUAACAUUUUGAACCGCAUGGUUCGAAAUUGAAAGGCGGCUUCGGCUGUCACUUAUGGAUGGACCCGCGUCGCAUUAGCUAGUUGGUGAGGUAACGGCUCACCAAGGCAACGAUGCGUAGCCGACCUGAGAGGGUGAUCGGCCACACUGGGACUGAGACACGGCCCAGACUCCUACGGGAGGCAGCAGUAGGGAAUCUUCCGCAAUGGACGAAAGUCUGACGGAGCAACGCCGCGUGAGUGAUGAAGGCUUUCGGGUCGUAAAACUCUGUUGUUAGGGAAGAACAAGUACAAGUUGAAUAAGCUGCCACCUUAACGGUACCUAACCAGAAAGCCACGGCUAACUACGUGCCAGCCGCCGCGUAA